GACGAACGCUGGCGGCGUGCUUAACACAUGCAAGUCGAACGGAAAGGCCCUGCUUUUGUGGGGUGCUCGAGUGGCGAACGGGUGAGUAACACGUGGUUAACCUGCCCUGGACUUGGGGAUAACUUCAGGAAACGGGGGCUAAUACCGGAAAGGAGCUCCUGCGGCAUGGGGGGGGUGGGAAAGUUUCGGCGGUUGGGGAUGGACUCGCGGCUUAUCAGCUUGUUGGUGGGGUAGUGGCUUACCAAGGCUUUGACGGGUAGCCGGCCUGAGAGGGUGACCGGCCACAUUGGGACUGAGAUACGGCCCAGACUCCUACGGGAGGCAGCAGUGGGGAAUAUUGCACAAUGGGCGGAAGCCUGAUGCAGCAACGCCGCGUGCGGGAUGACGGCCUUCGGGUUGUAAACCGCUUUCGCCUGUGACGAAGCGUGAGUGACGGUAAUGGGUAAAGAAGCACCGGCUAACUACGUG
Molecule: ribosomal RNA, 468 nt
Filed under: uncultured bacterium
Lineage: Bacteria
Description: partial 16S ribosomal RNA
Rfam family: Bacterial small subunit ribosomal RNA
Source: RNAcentral